CACUGGUUCAACAGUGGGAUAACUGCUGCUUUUUUUAGAUGUGGAAGAGGCUGCAGUUGAAUCACAACCCUGAACCCGUCUUGUCUUGCCCUUCUCCAUAUCAAGAUGAUCUUGUAUUCCUGAGGCUUUUUCUGGAGCUCUUCCAUUCUCACUUCUCUCUUCUUCCACUCCCAACACCUUCAUUUCUUCCCAAACAGCUCUAGGACCCUCUUUUGACAGGACUUUAACAGUUAAAGUAUCAUUUUGGCGAGAAACCUCCUCCCUUUUGUCACAACCUUUUCUGUUUGAUUUUAAAGCAUCUUGGAUAAAUUGCUGUGAAGAGCAGCUCUUCGAUGAACGAAGAGACGAAGACAGUGAAGACUGUUUUGGGGAGGACAUGGCGGACGACGGAACAAACUCCUGAAGAAUGUGGGAGGAAAUCAGAGGACACCCAACUGAAACACAGACAGAAGAUACCAACUUGACAAAGAAGAACGUUCUCACCUGCCAGCCCUCAGCUGAUCUGGAUGUCGCAGCUGAAUCUGAAGCAACGCAUGCGAGCGAGAGGACUGAGGAUUCACACCACUCACCCCCUGAGUGCGUAACUCUGUGCCAUGAGUGAUCACCUGAGAGGCAGGCAACAUAAAAACAGCAUGAGGUUUCUGUCAAAUAUUUUGUGGCAAAAAUGAAGAGCAAAAGUCAAACCUGCAGAAGCGCGUGCUCAGAGUCAACUCUGACCUCAGCCAGACCUGCGAUGUGGACCACCUUCCUCCCAUCCUCUCUGGAAUAUAACCUACAGCAGAGGAGCAAGAAACACUUCAGGCUGUCUCUGGGGUGGAAUGUUACAGGGAGGUCAUACAGGUGACCACAGUAGAUCUCAAAGAAGCUGACGUACACAGUCAAGGGACAUGGUGUCUGCAGGGUGGAGAGGUGAGCAAAGAUGUCCCGAACUGCCAAAGUGUACAAACCCAGGCUCCCGGGUGCACAACCCAACAUGGUGUGAGUCUUCCCGGCACCAGUCUGUCCAUAAGCAAAGCAGGUGGACUGGCCACUGGAGCGAGACAAACAUCAGAGGAAGUACGUUAGACACAACAAUUGCUGUCUGCUAUAUAGCUCAAGGCAGGAGAUUGAGAUGAAAUUAUUCACAGUUGUGAGUUGAGUUUUACACGACAUGGAAUUAUGGAAGAGGGGAGAAUGUAGGGGGGAAAGUACAGAAAUAAACAAAUGUGUAAAUAAAGAUAAAAAUAUGCUUCCAUAGAAUUAAAUUAAAAUUUUAAAAUAUAAUUAGAUUCAAAUUCAUAAAUAUGGAAGAGGACAGCUCAAUACAUACAAAAUACAUGUAUUUAGGGUUGUUAAUCACCAACUUCAUCACGAUACAAUGCUAUAUUGAUAUGUUUGAAUGACAAUACACAGCUGCAGUAAAACACAAUCUGCAAUCUGUACUGCAGUACACCAAUCCAUAACAUUUAAAUAUGAAAGGCAUCAGAUGUUUAACAGGACAUUUUUGUUUAACCUCAACAAGAUACUGAUAUAUUACUAAACUAGCUAUUAGUAGCUAUAAAUUAUAAUACAAAAAUAUAUAAUAUGAAUGAAGAGACUCAUUCAGGCAAGGAUAAAUCGUGACCAGUCUGCAUUGUCAUCUAUCCUGAAAUAAAGUUAAUGUGAAAAUGUAGAUCGAUGUUUUUCUACACCCCUAAUACACACAUUAACGCUUUGGAAAUUUCAUAGCUAUCUCAUCCAUAAGAGACAAAGCACUCGUGGGACUCCAUCCAAAGCUCCACCGCAGCUGACAUAUCUUUCCCUUCAACAGAAUGCGCCUGUAACCUCAAUUGCCCCCUUUGGAAGCAUUAAGUGUUUUGUACUUCAACAUACAUAAACAAAACCCUCACAUGAUUAACAUUGUAAGUUGUAACAAAUUAUUCUAUAACAAACAAGCAAACAAAAUCAUUACUUCCAUACCCAUUCAGUGUGUGCCGGACCAGAGGGUAGGCUGUUUUCAGAUACACAUCCUCAUUGGUACUUUCCUCUCCAAAAACCUGGUCAAAGUAAAACUUGUGCUGCAAGACAAAAACAGUAGAAAACAAAAUUAAACUUCUCUCAUUUCUAACAUUAUAGUAUUUCUAUGUAAAUGGUUUAACCAAAAAUACAAGAGCAAUAAUCCUUGAUGUCUGAAAGUGACACCGAAGCGUGUGAAUGAUUACCAGCUGUGUAUAUGGUGUUAAAUCACAUGCUUCUUUGCUCUCGUGGACGAUCACACAGUCUCCAUUUGCGACAGUGACAACAUCUGUCUCUCCUGUCUGGCUCUCUUCAUACAUGAGAGGUUUCUUCCUCACACACACCUUUAUCCGCUGCUCCCCUGCUCUUCUACAAACCACACACAUUAGGGAGAUAUUAAAUGUUUGUAAAAAAUAAAA
Synchiropus splendidus (mandarinfish) is the source of this 2393-nucleotide long non-coding RNA. RefSeq lists it as uncharacterized. NCBI's taxonomy places the organism in Eukaryota, Metazoa, Chordata, Actinopteri, Syngnathiformes, Callionymidae. The transcript has 3 exons. The record is from RefSeq and is a predicted model, not a curated record.